CCUACGGGAGGCAGCAGUGAGGAAUAUUGGUCAAUGGACGCAAGUCUGAACCAGCCAUGCCGCGUGCAGGACGACGGCUCUAUGAGUUGUAAACUGCUUUUGUACGAGGGUAAACGCAGAUACGCGUAUCUGUCUGACAGUAUCGUAAGAAUAAGGAUCGGCUAACUCCGUGCCAGCAGCCGCGGUAAUACGGAGGAUUCAAGCGUUAUCCGGAUUUAUUGGGUUUAAAGGGUGCGUAGGCGGGCGGAUAAGUUAGAGGUGAAAUCCCGAGGCUCAACUUCGGAAUUGCCUCUGAUACUGUUCGGCGAGAGAGUAGUUGCGGUAGGCGGAAUGUAUGGUGUAGCGGUGAAAUGCUUAGAGAUCAUACAGAACACCGAUUGCGAAGGCAGCUUACCAAGCUACUUCUGACGUUGAGGCACGAAAGCGUGGGGAGCAAACAGGAUUAGAUACCCCAGUAGUC
RNAcentral lists this ribosomal RNA (460 nucleotides) under uncultured bacterium. RNAcentral's name for it is "partial 16S ribosomal RNA". It matches the Rfam family "Bacterial small subunit ribosomal RNA", at positions 338 to 795 of the family's 1533-position model. The record is from RNAcentral.